AGUGAACGCUGGCGGUAGGCCUAACACAAGCAAGUCGAACGGCAGCACAGUAAGAGCUUGCUCUUACGGGUGGCGAGUGGCGGACGGGUGAGGAAUACAUCGGAAUCUACUUUUUCGUGGGGGAUAACGUAGGGAAACUUACGCUAAUACCGCAUACGACCUACGGGUGAAAGCAGGGGAUCUUCGGACCUUGCGCGAUUGAAUGAGCCGAUGUCGGAUUAGCUAGUUGGCGGGGUAAAGGCCCACCAAGGCGACGAUCCGUAGCUGGUCUGAGAGGAUGAUCAGCCACACUGGAACUGAGACACGGUCCAGACUCCUACGGGGGGCAGCAGUGGGGAAUAUUGGACAAUGGGCGCAAGCCUGAUCCAGCCAUACCGCGUGGGUGAAGAAGGCCUUCGGGUUGUAAAGCCCUUUUGUUGGGAAAGAAAAGCAGCAGGUUAAUACCCCGCUGUUCUGACGGUACCCAAAGAAUAAGCACCGGCUAACUUCGUG
This 492-nucleotide ribosomal RNA is filed under the name uncultured bacterium. RNAcentral describes it as "partial 16S ribosomal RNA". It matches the Rfam family "Bacterial small subunit ribosomal RNA", at positions 29 to 507 of the family's 1533-position model. The record is from RNAcentral.